RNAcentral lists this ribosomal RNA (511 nucleotides) under uncultured bacterium. Its description in RNAcentral is "bacterial SSU rRNA". It matches the Rfam family "Bacterial small subunit ribosomal RNA", at positions 33 to 518 of the family's 1533-position model. The record is from RNAcentral.
ACGCUGGCGGCAUGGCUAAAACAUGCAAGUCGCGCGCGAAUUCUCCGCAAGGGAGAUAGUAGAGCGGCGCAAGGGCGAGUAAUGCAUGGGCGACGUACCUCUUACACGAGGAUAGCCCGCCGAAAGGCGGGGUAAUACUCGAUGAUAUCUUUUGUGGCGGUGGCUGCGAAGAUCAAAGGGCGGGGAUCCUUCGGGACCUGUCGGUGAGAGAGCGGCCCAUGUCCUAUCAGCUAGUUGGCGAGGUAACGGCUCACCAAGGCGACGACGGGUACCGGGGCUGAGAGGUCGGCCCGGCGCAUUGGGACUGAGACACUGCCCAGACUCCUACGGGAGGCUGCAGUAACGAAUAUUGGGCAAUGGGCGAAAGCCUGACCCAGCGAUGCCGCGUGCGGGAUUGAAGCUCUUCGGAGUGUAAACCGCUGUCAGGGAUUUACCGAGUUAGGGCGUAUAACAAGCGCCCGAGUUGAGGGAUCCCAGAGGAAGCCACGGCUAACUUCGUGCCAGCCGCAGC